Non-coding RNA from Perkinsus marinus ATCC 50983, 82 nucleotides. Lineage: Eukaryota; Perkinsozoa; Perkinsida; Perkinsidae. The record is from Rfam.
GUCAGUUUGGCCGAGUGGUCUAAGGCGCCAGACUCAAGUUCUGGUGUAGAGAUCCGCGUGGGUUUGAACCCCACAGCUGACA